Molecule: ribosomal RNA, 253 nt
Filed under: uncultured bacterium
Lineage: Bacteria
Description: partial 16S ribosomal RNA
Rfam family: Bacterial small subunit ribosomal RNA
Source: RNAcentral
UACGUAGGGUGCAAGCGUUAAUCGGAAUUACUGGGCGUAAAGGGCGCGUAGGCGGUUAUGUAAGUGAGAUGUGAAAGCCCUGGGCUUAACCUAGGAACAGCAUCUUAUACUGCAAGACUAGAGUAUUGUAGAGGGUAGUGGAAUUUCCGGUGUAGCGGUGAAAUGCGUAGAGAUCGGAAGGAACACCAGUGGCGAAGGCGGCUACCUGGACAAAUACUGACGCUGAGGCGCGAGAGCGUGGGGAGCAAACAGG